RNAcentral lists this ribosomal RNA (484 nucleotides) under uncultured bacterium. Its description in RNAcentral is "partial 16S ribosomal RNA". It matches the Rfam family "Bacterial small subunit ribosomal RNA", at positions 29 to 507 of the family's 1533-position model. The record is from RNAcentral.
AUUGAACGCUGGCGGCAUGCUUUACACAUGCAAGUCGAACGGCAGCGCGGGCUUCGGCCUGGCGGCGAGUGGCGAACGGGUGAGUAAUGCAUCGGAACGUGCCCAGUAGUGGGGGAUAGCCCGGCGAAAGCCGGAUUAAUACCGCAUACGACCUGAGGGUGAAAGCGGGGGACCGAAAGGCCUCGCGCUAUUGGAGCGGCCGAUGUGGGAUUAGCUAGUUGGUGGGGUAAAGGCUUACCAAGGCGACGAUCCGUAGCUGGUCUGAGAGGACGACCAGCCACACUGGGACUGAGACACGGCCCAGACUCCUACGGGAGGCAGCAGUGGGGAAUUUUGGACAAAGGGGGCAACCCUGAUCCAGCCAUGCCGCGUGCGGGAAGAAGGCCUUCGGGUUGUAAACCGCUUUUGUUCGGGAAGAAAUCCUGUGGGCUAAUACCCCGGGGGGAUGACGGUACCGGAAGAAUAAGCACCGGCUAACUACGUG